UACGUAGGGGGCGAGCGUUGUCCGGAUUCAUUGGGCGUAAAGGGUGCGUAGGCGGCGCGGUAAGUCGGGUGUGAAAUCUUGGAGCUUAACUCCGAAACUGCAUUCGAUACUGCCGUGCUUGAGGACUGGAGAGGAGACUGGAAUUUACGGUGUAGCGGUGAAAUGCGUAGAUAUCAGGAGGAACACCAGCGGCGAAGGCGGCGCUCUGGGCCGGUACUGACACUGAGGAGCGAAAGCGUGGGUAGCAAACAGG
Molecule: ribosomal RNA, 253 nt
Filed under: uncultured bacterium
Lineage: Bacteria
Description: partial 16S ribosomal RNA
Rfam family: Bacterial small subunit ribosomal RNA
Source: RNAcentral